CUCUGACCUGGACGGUGGCCAGAGCAGGACAAGUGGCUUCCAUACUUAACGGGAGCGCUGAUGCGGGAGGCCUGGAGAUUGUACAACCUCUAGUCCACCGGCGGCCAGACUUGGGGACGUGACGCUGCUGGUGGCGGCGGAGAGGAACCAGUAGCAGCGUCUCCAAGCCUGCUGAUGGCGCUGAGAUCCUGCUGCUUUCUGCCUCAGUGCUAAUUAAUAUCCUGGACGUUAUCAAGAAGAUAUGAGAGAUGACAUCAAAUUCUGGUGAAGAAGGAAGAGCUAGCACAUGGAGGGAUCAGUGUUUCACAGUAGUUUUGAAAGAGGGUGGUGACAGAAGGGAAAAGAGGUUAUCUGGAGGGGAUUCAGCUUGCUUGAUGCCCUCACAGCACGGCGGCUGGCUUCCUCAGAAAGACUGGCCCAAGAAGAAAAGGGAGCGGACCCAAGCCUCUUAGGACGCAGCCUCGGAAGUCACACGGGCCGCUUCUGCCUCGAGCCAGCCAGCACACGUGGUCAACACGUCGGCCCGGCUCAGAGAGGGGAGUGACCUGACGCUCCACCUGUUAAAGGGAAAUUCAUCGCGGAAUUAGUGAGCAUUUAAAACAUCACCACACCUCACUCCUAUCCCGGGACUUGGAAUCAGGACCAGGACUAGGGUGGGACCAGCCUGGGGCCCAGGACACAACACUCCAGGAGGCCCUGGGUUUCGGGUCUCGCACAUCGAAAUAAAUUGUUUUGGAUACUGGUGUUUCCCCAAAA
Long non-coding RNA from Heterocephalus glaber (naked mole-rat), 756 nucleotides. RefSeq lists it as uncharacterized. The record is from RefSeq and is a predicted model, not a curated record. Lineage: Eukaryota; Metazoa; Chordata; Mammalia; Rodentia; Bathyergidae.